GAUGAACGCUGGCGGCGUGCCUAAUACAUGCAAGUCGAGCGAACAGACGAGGAGCUUGCUCCUCUGACGUUAGCGGCGGACGGGUGAGUAACACGUGGAUAACCUACCUAUAAGACUGGGAUAACUUCGGGAAACCGGAGCUAAUACCGGAUAAUAUAUUGAACCGCAUGGUUCAAUAGUGAAAGACGGUUUUGCUGUCACUUAUAGAUGGAUCCGCGCCGCAUUAGCUAGUUGGUAAGGUAACGGCUUACCAAGGCAACGAUGCGUAGCCGACCUGAGAGGGUGGUCGGCCACCCUGGAACUGGAGAACGGUUCAGACUCCUACGGGAGGGCGCAGUAGGGAAACUUCCGGAAUGGGCGGAAGCCUGACGGAGCAACGGCGCGUGGGGGAUGAAGGUCUUCGGAUCGGAAAACUCUGUUAUUAGGGAAGAACAAAUGUGUAAGUAACUAUGCACGUCUUGACGGUACCUAAUCAGAAAGCCACGGCUAACUACGUG
RNAcentral lists this ribosomal RNA (497 nucleotides) under uncultured bacterium. RNAcentral describes it as "partial 16S ribosomal RNA". It matches the Rfam family "Bacterial small subunit ribosomal RNA", at positions 28 to 507 of the family's 1533-position model. The record is from RNAcentral.